Molecule: RNA transcript, 1801 nt
Organism: Monomorium pharaonis (pharaoh ant)
Lineage: Eukaryota; Metazoa; Arthropoda; Insecta; Hymenoptera; Formicidae
Exons: 4
Source: RefSeq, a predicted model, not a curated record
CUUUCUCUCUCGCACAGAUCUUGGACACACUUACGGUCUACGGUCUACAUGAAACCAUAGCAAUUCCUCCUCCAUGUAUAUAUACUCAAAGAAUAUUAUACAUCAAAGUGACAUCAAAGAAAAACAAAAUUAUUAAAAUAUAAAAUAAAUUUUCUCAAAAAUCCUACUAUUCACAAGUUAUGGUUGGAUAUUUUGGGACUAAAUUCAUCAUCUAUCCCAACUACAGCUCGUAUUUGUUCUAUUCAUUUUGAAAAAGAAUCUUUUAAUAGAACAUGUUUAAUAACUCUACUUAGGCCAAAUGCAUUGCCCAGUAGAACACUUACAAUGCAGAUCAUCUUCGGAAUCUACUGUUGAACAAUUUAUUAAUGAAAAUGUUGAAACGGUAUCACAAGAAAUAAAUUAUUCGCCAAUAGUUCCGACAAAAUCAACAGAUGUAAUCAAUGGAUCCUUAUCACCUAUAACAAAAUUUGUUUACCACAAUCGGUAUCUAAAGUGGAUAAAAUAACAAUGGUAUCAUCUACACGCAUCUAUAAUUCUCCAGAAAAAUCUAGAUUACGGAAAAGAAUUAAAUUCUUGGAAGUACAACAUACAAAAAAAAUGCUAUUUGCGCAACAAAAAAUACGACGGUAUAAGAAUCAAGUGAUCACACUCAAAGAAAUUUUAAACAAAUUAAAGAAUAAUAAUUAUUGAAUGAAACACAAGUUGACAUUAUACAUAUAUAUGUUAGGUAAACCAAUAAGUGAGAUUUUUAAGCAAUUAAUUAGGCGAAAGAAAAAUGCAUGCGUACCCAAACAAUAUCCGAAAAUAUGUUCAUUUGCACUAACGCUGUAUUAUUACUCUGCAUUUAUUGAAGAAGCAGUUAUAAUUUUCUUCUUGUGACACAUGCUUGAACAAUUAUAUUUAUUUUCAAUUUAUCUUAUGUAUAUUUAUGAUUAAAUGAAAUAGUACAGCGCAUAAAAUGCAAAGUGUUGUGUUGUGUAUAAUACUAAAGUUUAAUUAGACCUAAGUAAUUCGUCAUUUCAAUGUUACUGAUAUAGCUUGUUUAGAAUAUUGUAUUUUGCAAGGUGUAAAAUCAGCAAAAUGUAAAAUAAUAUCAGGAAAGUGAUGAAAGGAAUGCAGUUACAAAACAUGAAAUAUGUGUCACCAGGCAUAAACUGCUAUUGCUGAAUUUGAACUGUAUGACAGGUAACGUAAUUAAUUCUCUUUAAACUUUACUCACUUGUUCAGAUUUUACUUAGUGUUAAUAAACUUAAAUAAUUUGAGAAAUAAUACCUUCCUGCUUUAAUACAUUAUUACAAAAUUUAAUUGUAAUUACAUUUUCAGAACAUGGUGGUGUGUUAUCUACUGCACUAAGCGAAAAAGUACAUUAUUGUAUGUUCUACAUGUUCUUUCCAUGUUAUUAAAAGCUUCAUAUAUUUUAUAUAUUUUCAGUGUUACUAAGGGUGACAUGAUUUAUGGCUCUGUGUUAUUCAGAAGAGUAGUCAAAUGUCAUCAGGAAUCUUCUGACAAAUUCUGAUUCUUAAAGAGUUUAGUUAAGAAAUACAGAAUUUAUUUCAACAAGACUUCAAUCUUAUUGUAUUUAUAUGUGGAUUGUGUACAAUAUAAGAGAAUCGUGAACAAAUGAACAAUUGAAUGAUCAAUAAAAUAUCUAUUAUACUUGGCAGCAUGAUUUAAUUAAAUCUAAUUAAUUAAUCGAAUAUAUUAGGAUAAAUCAGAAAGGCAAAUGAGCCGCUACUAAAUGAUAUUGUAGAUAAUGUAUUAUCGUAAUAUUAUUUACAUAAAUAUAAACGUUUCAACUUGU